GGUUUGAUUCUGGCUCAGAUUGAACGCUGGCGGAUGUUUUUACACAUGCAAGUCGAACGGCAGCACGGACUUCGGUCUGGUGGCGAGUGGCGAACGGGUGAGUAAUGUAUCGGAACGUGCCUAGUAGCGGGGGAUAACUACGCGAAAGCGUAGCUAAUACCGCAUACGCCCUUCGGGGAAAGCGGGGACCUUCGGGCCUCGCACUAUUGAAGGGUCGACAUUAGCUAGGUUGGUGGGGUAACGGCUCACCAAGGCGACGAUCCGUAGCCGGUUUGAGAGGACGACCAGCCACACUGGGACUGAGACACGGCCCAGACUCCUACGAAGAGGCAGCAGUGGGGAAUUUUGGACAAUGGGGGAAACCCUGAUCCAGCCAUCCUGCGUGUGCGAUGAAGGCCUUCGGGUUGUAAAGCACUUUUGGCAGGAAGAAACGGCACGGGAUAAUACCCCGUGCAACUGACGGUACUGCAGAAUAAGCACCGGCUAACUACGUGCCAGCAGCCGCGGUAAUACGUGUAGUGCAAGCGUUAAUCGGAAUUACUGGGCGUAAAGCGUGCGCAGGCGGUUCGGAAAGAAAGAUGUGGAAUCCCAGAGCUUAACUUUGGAACUGCAUUUUUAACUACCGAGCUAGAGUGAAGUCAGAGGGAGGUGGAAUUCCGCGUGUAGCAAGGGGAAAUGCGUAGAUAUGCGGAGGAACACCGCAUGGCGAAGGCAGCCUCCUGGGAUAACACUGACGCUCAUGCACGAAAGCGUGGGGAGCAAACAGGAUUAGAUACCCUGUAGUCCACGCCCCAAACGAUGUCAACUAGCUGUUGGGGCCUUCGCCUUGGUAGCGCAGCUAACGCGUGAAGUUGACCGCUCCUGGGGAGUACGGUCGCAAGAUUAAAACCUCAAAGGAAUUGGACGGGGACCCGCACGCUGCGGAUGAUGUGGAUUAAUUCGAUGCAACGCGAAAACCUUACCUACCCUUGACAUGUCUGGAAUCCCGAAGAGAUUUGGGAGUGCUCGCAAGAGAACCGGAACACAGGUGCUGCAUGGCUGUCGUCAGCUCGUGUCGAGAUGUUGGGUUAAGUCCCGCAACGAGCGCAACCCUUGUCAUUAGUUGCUACGAAAGGGCACUUCCACGAGACUGCCGGUGACAAACCGGAGGAAGGUGGGGAUGACGUCAAGUCCUCAUGGCCCUGGCGGGUAGGGCUUCACACGUCAUACAAUGGUCGGGACAGAGGGUCGCCAACCCGCGAGGGGGAGCCACCAAUCCCAGAAACCCGAUCGUAGUCCGGAUCGCAGUCUGCAACCUCGACCGCAGCCGGAAUCGCUAGUAAUCGCGGAUCAGCAUGUCGCGGUGAAUACGUUCCCGGGUCUUGUACACACCGCCCGUCACACCAUGGGAGUGGGUUUUACCAGAAGUAGUUAGCCCAACUCGUAAGGAGAGGGCGAUUAAUACGGUAGGAUUCAUGACUGGGGUGAAGUCGUAACAAGGUAA
This 1483-nucleotide ribosomal RNA is filed under the name uncultured Bordetella sp. RNAcentral's name for it is "partial 16S-23S ribosomal RNA intergenic spacer". It matches the Rfam family "Bacterial small subunit ribosomal RNA". Lineage: Bacteria; Pseudomonadati; Pseudomonadota; Betaproteobacteria; Burkholderiales; Alcaligenaceae. The record is from RNAcentral.